RNAcentral lists this ribosomal RNA (254 nucleotides) under uncultured bacterium. Its description in RNAcentral is "partial 16S ribosomal RNA". It matches the Rfam family "Bacterial small subunit ribosomal RNA", at positions 524 to 776 of the family's 1533-position model. The record is from RNAcentral.
UACGUAGGGGGCGAGCGUUGUCCGGAUUUAUUGGGCGUAAAGAGCUCGUAGGCGGCUUGGCAAGUCGGGUGUGAAAACUCCAGGCUCAACCUGGAGACGCCACUCGAGACUGCUAUGGCUAGAGUCCGGUAGGGGACCACGGAAUUCCUGGUGUAGCGGUGAAAUGCGCAGAUAUCAGGAGGAACACCGGUGGCGAAGGCGGUGGUCUGGGCCGGCACUGACGCUGAGGAGCGAAAGCGUGGGUAGCGAACAGG